RNAcentral lists this ribosomal RNA (211 nucleotides) under uncultured bacterium. Its description in RNAcentral is "partial 16S ribosomal RNA". It matches the Rfam family "Bacterial small subunit ribosomal RNA", at positions 1290 to 1500 of the family's 1533-position model. The record is from RNAcentral.
AGUUCGGAUCGCAGCCUGCAACCCGGCUGCGUGAAGCUGGAAUCGCUAGUAAUCGCGGAUCAGAAUGCCGCGGUGAAUACGUUCCCGGGUCUUGUACACACCGCCCGUCACACCAUGGGAGCCGGAAACGCCCGAAGCCAGUGGCCUGACCGCGAGGAGGGAGCUGUCGAAGGCGGGUCCGGUGACCGGGGUGAAGUCGUAACAAGGUAAC